CAGUCGCCGCGGUAAUACGUAGGGUGCGAGCGUUAAUCGGAAUUACUGGGCGUAAAGCGUGCGCAGGCGGUUGUGCAAGACAGAUGUGAAAUCCCCGAGCUUAACUUGGGAACUGCAUUUGUGACUGCACGGCUAGAGUGUGUCAGAGGGGGGUAGAAUUCCACGUGUAGCAGUGAAAUGCGUAGAUAUGUGGAGGAAUACCGAUGGCGAAGGCAGCCCCCUGGGAUAACACUGACGCUCAUGCACGAAAGCGUGGGGAGCAAACAGGAUUAGAUACCCGAGUAGUCCCUGUCUCUUAUAC
This 301-nucleotide ribosomal RNA is filed under the name uncultured bacterium. RNAcentral describes it as "partial 16S ribosomal RNA". It matches the Rfam family "Bacterial small subunit ribosomal RNA", at positions 509 to 807 of the family's 1533-position model. The record is from RNAcentral.